GCUGAUAUGUUUGUUUUUUUCUAUACGUGUGUGGGUCUUAUUUGUAACCAUUAGAGUAACCUUUUACCAUUCAGAAACUCUUGCAGGAGGAGAUAUAAAUGUCAAGGUCAGCAUUAAUAUGCAUUUACAGAUCCAAGGCUAAUUUUGCUGGAGAUCAAAUUUUUAUGGUAUGACGAUUUUCCUGACAGACUUAUAGCAUUGUUUACAAUGUUCCAACAAUAGUUGGAUGCCCA
RNAcentral lists this long non-coding RNA (233 nucleotides) under Elaeis guineensis (African oil palm). RNAcentral describes it as "long non-coding RNA (EGUI_LNC023037)". Lineage: Eukaryota; Viridiplantae; Streptophyta; Magnoliopsida; Arecales; Arecaceae. The record is from RNAcentral.